RNAcentral lists this long non-coding RNA (2780 nucleotides) under Equus caballus (horse). RNAcentral describes it as "lncRNA (ENSECAG00000030420.3)". Lineage: Eukaryota; Metazoa; Chordata; Mammalia; Perissodactyla; Equidae. The record is from RNAcentral.
CUCGUGAUUUUUUAAUGUAUCAACUCAGAUAUCCCCACCCCAUAUCUUAGGUUUCCAUUACUUCCCAAUCAGGGUCCUGACCUUGGAGUAGUAAAUGGGCCAACGAAGUGAGAACAAAACCUCUCCUUGAGUUCUGAUACUCUCAAAUUAAGUCCUGGAUCUAAUCCCAAAUUUUUCUUGUCCUCUGGUUGUAAAAGAUGACAGUCAUUUUUAUACACUGCUGAGGAGGCCCCCGCUUGGACACAAACACUUUAAUUGGUGAUUAAUCACUCAGCUGUUUACUGUCUGCCCCUAAAUCAUUGAUUGAUCCCAGCAAUGUGCAUCCAAAUAGCUGACAUAUUGCAUCAGCCUGUGUGUUCCCUUCCACGAGUCCACAGGCCCAGAUCUCCACUGGUGAAAGUUUUAACAAUUGGACUGCUACCUAUGCGAGGAGCCUUCCAUGCUUCCCCUACCAGUGAGGGGGUCCUUACGGCAGGCAGGCCAACUCUUCAUCCUUAUACAAAAUCCCACUUCAGAGUCUCCUUCCUCAGACCACACCGGGGUCUUGGGCAGCAGAAUCUGAGACAGAGAAUCAGGUGCAGGAAGUUCAUUGGAGAGUGUGUGAGUUCAACCUCUAGAGGGAAUGAAUGAAGCAAGAUUGGGCUCCUGGAGAAGGUGACUACAACACUCUUGCAACAAAAGCCUCAGCCACUUCUAAGGCCUUUAACGUCUUAAUUGACCAAUCGUUGGACACAGGUAAGGGGCGGUGAGCCUCUGGUGAGAGGACCGUCUUCAAUGAAAGGCAAUUACUGGAGACAGGUGCAACUGAGAACUGUUGGUCAUCAACACACCCAGUAAGUGAAGAGUGAGCGCUUCUAUCCUGGAGCAGGAUCUGGGCCAGCACCCAGCACUUUCAAACAUUCAGUGAGAGUGAAGAGGGACCCCAUUCCUGACCUGUGGAGUGACGAGGAAGGCACUGGAUGUUCUCUCCAGGAGAGAGGUUCAGUGACCUUAGGGAAUGGCUGACGACCAGAGGAUACCUGGAAAGGCCUGAUCAAGCAAGAGGAGAGAGCCGUUACUAAAACCCGGGAGAGAGAAAGGGAGAAGAGCUAUGUGGAGAGGGAUGCCAGAUGGCAGUGGUGAUGCUCAGUGGAGGAGUGCAACUAGCCCAUGGCAAACCUUCCAGGGUUAUUGCAAAGAGCAAAGGAGAUAAUGGACAUGAAAAUACUUUGUAAAUUGCGAAGGUUAUUCUAGAGGUUCCCACUGGAGUUCUGGAUUCCCAGGAUACACAGCAACCAGCUGUAUGGGACUUUGGAAGAUAAUGGUCACCCUCUCCCCUUUGGCCUCCUCUUUCCUUUUCCACUCUAAACUACAGCUGUCUCAGGCAAUGACUACAGAUUCUGCUUUGGGAUUUAGAUUCGGAGGAAAAGGGAGGAGGGAGAAAUAAAAAGAUUAUGAAAUUCGGCCAAAAGAAUAAGAAAGGGUAAAAUCAGGGGAAAUUCACCUGUCUGAUGCAAAGUUAAACUGCUGGCUUUAAUGUGACUGCAUGGGAACUUGGGUUUAUUAAUGAAUACAACAUACCCUCUUUGAUUUGAAAGCUUUCACCCUGCUGAAAAGAUUCAAAAGGCAUCGCUUCCUGCACCAGCGGCAUUCCUUUAUCCGUCUCAGUGGUUCACCCCUACCCAGCUGCUAUAUCUCAUUAACAAGCAUUUGACCACUGCAGCCGGCCUGGGAGUGUUGACACUUGAAAGGCCCAGGCAGGCGUGGGCAGGCCAUCAGCUAUGGCAACAGGAAACUGCCCCGGAGACAACACUGAGAAAACAGCAGCUGCAAGAGCCAAAGUCAGAACAGACAUAAAGGGUUGCCUAUAUCCACGUCGGUCUGGGGUAUCGGUGCGUGCCUGUGGGCCUGAAUUCACACGUCUAUUUACUAUAUUUAUGGGAUAUAAAGGUUGCUAUCAACAUGUCUCUAACACUGGACUUGCUGACAACACAGAAUGAUUUUUUGACUUUCAGUGUUCUCGAAUCCUCAGGUUUCCAGAAUCUUCCUCAUCUCCUUUUAAUGUAACUUCUUGUUUAUGCACAUAAGGACGUUCACUAGAGGCCUUAAACUUGAUAGACACGUUCACUCUGGUGAAAGUCACAGUGACAAUAAAAAAUAUAUAUGCCUGAAUCCUUACCCAUUUUUCAUGCUACCACAUUAUUUUUAAAAACAAGUCAACUUGUAAAACUGUCACAUAAAUACGUAAGAUUACUCUGAAAGUCUUUGGCUUAGGAAUCAAACUGUGAUGGUUUUAUGUAGAAUAUUUAAGAAUGAAACAGUCAUUUCAAUUGUGUAAAGGUAGCUCAUAAAAUUGUGGGAUGUUCCACUUAUUAUUGAUCAUAAUAAUUUCAAAUACCUAUGUUAAUAAAAUUCAUUUACUAUUCUUUGAAUUGUAGGCUACACAGCAUCACACCCUUGAAUCUACUUCUAAAUGUUGUUUCUAUAUUCAUCUGAGGAGCUCAAAGUACACAUACCAAUUGGAAUGUUUCAUGCAAUGUUUGGGGCAAGUAUUUCUCCAAAUCUGGUGUGUCUCUGUCCAAGCCUAUAAGAGCGUUUUUAGAGGAUAGGUAAGCAAUAGUUCAAAAUCAAAGUUUUUCAUCCAGAAGGAAAAUGACCCUUUUCAAAACAGGAAAAAGAGGUCACUCCAUAUUAGGGGAGAAAAGAAAGCUAAAUGAAAAAAGACACUAAUACAAUGUGUUAUAAGUGAAAGUAGUUGACUGCCACUCAAAGACUAGUGAAUUAUUUUCCUGUCAUCAUCA